RNAcentral lists this long non-coding RNA (1629 nucleotides) under Trifolium pratense (red clover). Its description in RNAcentral is "long non-coding RNA (TPRA_LNC002366)". Lineage: Eukaryota; Viridiplantae; Streptophyta; Magnoliopsida; Fabales; Fabaceae. The record is from RNAcentral.
UUGUGUUUAUUGUAAGAAUAUGGUGAAUUUGUGGAGGUGUCAUUUAUACGUUGUGGGUGAAGCUCUAUGAGGACGAUAUGCCUUAAUUAUAGUAGGGGUGUGUUCAAAUUCAAAUGGAUCCAAAUAAAAAUCGUAAAUCGAACCAAAAAAAUCGCAAAAACCGAAUAUGUCUGAAUGUCUUUUUGUGAAAACCGCUAGGUCACGUCAAAUUUUGGAUUGGUUUUUCAAAACCGAUCUAAACUGAACCAAAUCGCAUACAUAUAUUUUUAAUAGUUAUUUAUCUUUUUAUUAGUAUGAUAUAUUGCAUAACCUAUUAUUUGUUGGAUAUCCAAAAAUCGAUCCAAAUCAAAUCACAUAAAAUUGGAUUGAAUCACACUUUUUUUAAUUUGUUAUUCAAAACUAAAGCGAACCAAAAAUAAAUUUAUUUUUGGAUCGGAUGAUUUUUGCCUUAAAACUGAUUCAAACCAAACCACAAUCACCCCUAUGCCACAUAUACACAAUCAUGUGGUUAGUUUUCUCAUUGCUCAAUGUUGGUCAAUUCUUUCUAUUUAUCACUUGAGUAUAUACGGACAAUAACCAACAAAAAUAUUGGCUUCAUGAAAACACUGAUUUUCACAUGGCUAAAAUUGAAACAAAUAUGUGGAUGCCUAAACUAGAAACUGUAAAACGGAAAUCCAAAGAUGCAUUUGGACUAAAUUAGCAACUACAAACAAGCAACCAACAAAACACACAAACAUGUUAUUAAUUAGAACCUCCAAUUGAAUAAUCAACCGACUAAUUUAUCACUAUUGAAGUUAUAUAUAAAAAUUCCAAAUUUUAAGACCCUAAACUAUCGAUUUUUCAUUGAUUACCUUAGUGUUGUUUCAAACUUGUUGGUGGAUUUGUCACAAUUGUAUGCAUUUGGAUUAGUAAUUUGUUUGAAAAAAAUUAAUUUUAGAGAGAAAUUGAAAGACAAAAAAAAAAAAGAGAAUAGUAAAAAGUGUUUUACAGCUUUAUGUAAGUGUUGCAAAACAAAAAAAACAGUGGGAGCAAAAUAAAAAAAAAAUUAAAAUAAGAAUAUUGUUGAAAAUUUUAAAAAUCUAGGUGCAUCCUUCACGAAGGACCCAUUUGGUUCUAUGAAAAGAAAGUAGGAGGAAAAAACAUUACACAAAUCAAUACAUGAACUUAGACUAAAGUUAAUCUAAAUUCAUAUAUUGGUAUGCGUAAUUUUCUUUCUUUCUAUUUUUUUUCCAUAGAAACAAACGGAUCAUAAAAAUCAGGAGGAGGAAAACAUUUACAAUAAUGAUUACGAUAGCAUUUUCCAACCCAAGGAGCUACACAAACAAUAUAAGCGCAUUCAUGAUCCUCCUUGCAAAGUUUAUAUAUUGCUGUGAUACAAAAAAAAAAUAAGAAACAAAUUUUACUAUAACAGUUCAAAUAUUUUGUACAAUAAGAUAAUCAAGAAACUUUAAAGGAAUACGAAAUGGUUUACUUACCACUAACAUCAGUUACCACAAGAAACAAGGAAAUAAAAAUGAUCGUUAAAUAAACAAAUUUAAUAUUUUCAGCCAUACUUUUUCUAGCUAUAGACAUCAAUUUAUUUGAUCACUUUAUGCUGUAAGAGUUCUGAGUUUUGUUUAUUUGUUUAAA